CCAGACUCGGAGACAUCAGACCUCGAUUCGAAUUCCAGCGGAGCGAGCUGAUUUUCUCGUGCUAUCGAUUACGCUUUAGAUGAAAUUAUUCAAAUUACGCUGCUGUAUCUUGCUGGAUUUGAACUUGAAAUCUAAAAUUCCAAAGUAGGCACGUGCUAUACUGGAAUAGGUGCGAAAGAGGGGUAGGUGAAUCGGCAACGCUUUGUAAACUCUUGCCCUGACGAAGCCCAGAACACCUUCUGCGGUCGACGAUGCACGGAGAGUAAAAGAGAAAGAGAGAGAAAGAGAGAUAUAAACACUUCCAUGGUACCGUAAGAACUUAGCUAUUCUCAGUAGCCAGGAAAGGAGAAAUCAUUUCCUCACAUGUGAAAACGAAUUUCCGCAAUAUACAUAUAUUUCUAUAUAAGCUGAUUUCCAAACACUCAUUGCAUUAUAAUCAAAAUUAUAGUUUGCGCAAA
Trachymyrmex septentrionalis is the source of this 458-nucleotide long non-coding RNA. RefSeq lists it as uncharacterized. Lineage: Eukaryota; Metazoa; Arthropoda; Insecta; Hymenoptera; Formicidae. The transcript has 3 exons. The record is from RefSeq and is a predicted model, not a curated record.